Molecule: ribosomal RNA, 253 nt
Filed under: uncultured bacterium
Lineage: Bacteria
Also listed under: 1 other name
Description: partial 16S ribosomal RNA
Rfam family: Bacterial small subunit ribosomal RNA
Source: RNAcentral
GACAGAGGGUGCAAACGUUGCUCGGAUUUACUGGGCGUAAAGCGCGUGUAGGCGGGCAUCUAAGUCGGGUGUGAAAUCCCUGGGCUCAACCUAGGAACUGCACUCGAAACUGGAUACCUGGAGUGAUGGAGAGGAGAGCGGAAUUCCCGGUGUAGAGGUGAAAUUCGUAGAUAUCGGGAGGAACACCAGUGGCGAAGGCGGCUCUCUGGACAUUUACUGACGCUGAGACGCGAAAGCGUGGGGAGCAAACAGG